UGCUUAACACAUGCAAGUCGAACGGUAACAGGCCUAGCUUGCUAGGUGCUGACGAGUGGCGGACGGGUGAGUAACGCGUAGGAAUUUACCUUAUAGUGGGGGAUAACCUGGGGAAACCCAGGCUAAUACCGCAUAAGCCCUAAGGGGGAAAGCGUGGGACCGAAAGGCCACGUGCUAUUAGAUGAGCCUGCGUCGGAUUAGCUUGUUGGUGGGGUAAAGGCCUACCAAGGCUUAGAUCCGUAGCUGGUCUGAGAGGACGACCAGCCACACUGGGACUGAGACACGGCCCAGACUCCUACGGGAGGCAGCAGUGGGGAAUAUUGGACAAUGGGCGCAAGCCUGAUCCAGCAAUGCCGCGUGUGUGAAGAAGGCCUGCGGGUUGUAAAGCUC
This 390-nucleotide ribosomal RNA is filed under the name uncultured organism. RNAcentral describes it as "bacterial SSU rRNA". It matches the Rfam family "Bacterial small subunit ribosomal RNA", at positions 45 to 433 of the family's 1533-position model. The record is from RNAcentral.